This 292-nucleotide ribosomal RNA is filed under the name uncultured bacterium. Its description in RNAcentral is "partial 16S ribosomal RNA". RNAcentral also lists the same sequence under 1 other name. The record is from RNAcentral.
GGACUACUAGGGUUUCUAAUCCCGUUUGCUCCCCUGGCCUUCGUGCCUCAGUGUCAGGAACUGUCCAGAGACCCGCCUUCGCCACUGGUCUUCCUUACGAUCUCUACGCAUUUCACUGCUACACCGUAAAUUCCAGUCUCCUCUCCAGUCCUCAAGCACCGCAGUAUCAAAUGCAAUUUCGGAGUUAAGCUCCGAGAUUUCACAUCUGACUUACGACGCCACCUACGCACCCUUUACGCCCAAUGAAUCCGAACAACGCUUGAGACCUCUGUAUUACCGCGGCGGCUGGCAC